This 468-nucleotide ribosomal RNA is filed under the name uncultured bacterium. RNAcentral's name for it is "partial 16S ribosomal RNA". It matches the Rfam family "Bacterial small subunit ribosomal RNA", at positions 28 to 507 of the family's 1533-position model. The record is from RNAcentral.
GACGAACGCUGGCGGCGUGCUUAACACAUGCAAGUCGAACGGAAAGGCCCUGCUUUUGUGGGGUGCUCGAGUGGCGAACGGGUGAGUAACACGUGAGUAACCUGCCCUUGACUUUGGGAUAACUUCAGGGAACUGGGGCUAAUACCGGAUAGGAGCUCCUGCUGCAUGGUGGGGGUUGGAAAGUUUCGGCGGUUGGGGAUGGACUGGCGGCUGAUCAGCUUGUUGGUGGGGUAGUGGCUUACCAAGGCAUUGACGGGUAGCCGGCCUGAGAGGGUGACCGGCCACAUUGGGACUGAGAUACGGCCCAGACUCCAACGGGAGGCAGCAGUGGGGAAUAUGGCACAAUGGGCGGAAGCCUGAUGCAGCAACGCCGCGUGCGGGAUGACGGCCUGCGGGUUGUAAACCGCUUUCGCCUGUGACGAAGCGUGAGUGACGGCAAUGGGUAAAGAAGCACCGGCUAACUACGUG